UCCAUUUUCAACGGUCGAUAAGUAAUCACGGUAGGUUACCAUUAGAUCUUCUCGAUUGGUAAGUCAUUCUAUCAUCGAGUACGCAUAGAAAAACAUUUCGCGACUGCCAUAUAAGGUAAAUAGGAGGGGUGGGGUGACUCGAGCUACGUCAUACCUCUUUCAGCUGUCGGACGCCGUCGAGACAAGUCUCAACUAGUUUCGCUCCACGUACAUGCAAUCAUUAUCGAUGACGUGAAUGCAUUGAAAUUAGAAGACGUUCACCAUCGUUCCAUGGAAAUUAUACUAAUCAAUGGUGGUAUAUACAACUGCAUACAUACGUGCAAGUGUAUUU
RNAcentral lists this long non-coding RNA (331 nucleotides) under Polistes fuscatus (common paper wasp). RNAcentral describes it as "uncharacterized LOC122518949". The record is from RNAcentral. Lineage: Eukaryota; Metazoa; Arthropoda; Insecta; Hymenoptera; Vespidae.